Non-coding RNA from Trichobilharzia regenti, 46 nucleotides. NCBI's taxonomy places the organism in Eukaryota, Metazoa, Platyhelminthes, Trematoda, Strigeidida, Schistosomatidae. The record is from Rfam.
AUACUGAUGAUGAGUUCCAGACUAGGACGAAACAUCUGUCCAGUAC